UGGGGAAUUUUGGACAAUGGGCGAAAGCCUGAUCCAGCAAUGCCGCGUGUGUGAAGAAGGCCUUCGGGUUGUAAAGCACUUUUGUCCGGAAAGAAAUGGCUCUGGUUAAUACCUGGGGUCGAUGACGGUACCGGAAGAAUAAGGACCGGCUAACUACGUGCCAGCAGCCGCGGUAAUACGUAGGGUCCAAGCGUUAAUCGGAAUUACUGGGCGUAAAGCGUGCGCAGGCGGUUGUGCAAGACCGAUGUGAAAUCCCCGAGCUUAACUUGGGAAUUGCAUUGGUGACUGCACGGCUAGAGUGUGUCAGAGGGGGGUAGAAUUCCACGUGUAGCAGUGAAAUGCGUAGAGAUGUGGAGGAAUACCGAUGGCGAAGGCAGCCCCCUGGGAUAACACUGACGCUCAUGCACGAAAGCGUGGGGAGCAAACAGGAUUAGAUACCCUGGUAGUCCACGCCCUAAACGAUGCCAACUAGUUGUUGGGGAUUCAUUUCCUUAGUAACGUAGCUAACGCGUGAAGUUGACCGCCUGGGGAGUACGGUCGCAAGAUUAAAAGC
RNAcentral lists this ribosomal RNA (553 nucleotides) under uncultured bacterium. RNAcentral describes it as "partial 16S ribosomal RNA". It matches the Rfam family "Bacterial small subunit ribosomal RNA", at positions 355 to 901 of the family's 1533-position model. The record is from RNAcentral.